This 1317-nucleotide ribosomal RNA is filed under the name Paraiberobathynella cf. fagei ABI-2012. RNAcentral's name for it is "SSU rRNA". It matches the Rfam family "Eukaryotic small subunit ribosomal RNA", at positions 1 to 1301 of the family's 1831-position model. Lineage: Eukaryota; Metazoa; Arthropoda; Malacostraca; Bathynellacea; Parabathynellidae. The record is from RNAcentral.
UUACCUGGUUUGAUCCUGCCAGUAGUCAUAUGCUUGUCUCAAAGAUUAAGCCAUGCAUGUCUAAGUACAGGCCGAAACAAGGCGAAACCGCGAAUGGCUCAUUAAAUCAGUUAUGGUUCAUUGGAUCUUACCUUGUUUUACUUGGAUAACUGUGGUAAUUCUAGAGCUAAUACGUGAUACCCCAGCUCCGACCGCAAGGAAAGAGCGCUUUUAUUAGAUCAAAACCAAUCGGGCUUCGGUCCGUUCUCACUGUGGUGACUCUGAAUAACUUUGAGCUGAGCGCAUGGUCUUCGAACCGGCGCCAUAUCCUUCAAGUGUCUGCCUUAUCAGCUUUCGAUUGUAGGUUAUGCGCCUACAAUGGCUAUAACGGGUAACGGGGAAUCAGGGUUCGAUUCCGGAGAGGGAGCCUGAGAAACGGCUACCACAUCUAAGGAAGGCAGCAGGCACGCAAAUUACCCACUCCCGGCCCGGGGAGGUAGUGACGAAAAAUAACGAUGCGGGACUCUUCCGAGGCCUCGCAAUCGGAAUGAGCACACUUUAAAUCCUUUAACGAGGAUCUAUUGGAGGGCAAGUCUGGUGCCAGCAGCCGCGGUAAUUCCAGCUCCAAUAGCGUAUAUUAAAGUUGCUGCGGUUAAAAAGCUCGUAGUUGGAUCUCAGUUCCGGACCGACGGUUCACCGCCCGGUGCUUACUGUCGGCUUCCGAACAGCCGCACGCCGGCUCGGCCAGGGUGCUCUUCAUCGAGUGUCCUGGUUUCGGCCGGCACGUUUACUUUGAAAAAAUUAGAGUGCUCAGCGCAGGCUGCAACGCCUGAAUAAUCUGUGCAUGGAAUAAUGGAAUAGGACCUCGGUUCUAUUUUGUUGGUUUUCGGAACCCGAGGUAAUGAUUAAUAGGAACUGUCGGGGGCAUUCGUAUUGCGACGUUAGAGGUGAAAUUCUUGGAUCGUCGCAAGACGGACUACUGCGAAAGCAUUUGCCAAGAAUGUUUUCAUUAAUCAAGAACGAAAGUUAGAGGUUCGAAGGCGAUCAGAUACCGCCCUAGUUCUAACCAUAAACGAUGCCAACCAGCGAUCCGCCGGCGUUAUUCCCAUGACUCGGCGGGCAGCUUCCGGGAAACCAAAGUCUCUGGGUUCCGGGGGAAGUAUGGUUGCAAAGCUGAAACUUAAAGGAAUUGACGGAAGGGCACCACCAGGAGUGGAGCCUGCGGCUUAAUUUGACUCAACACGGGGAACCUCACCAGGCCCGGACACCGGAAGGAUUGACAGAUUGAGAGCUCUUUCUCGAUUCGGUGGGUGGGGGUGCAUGGCCGUUCUUAGUUGG